GAUGGCAGGGCAUGGAUGAAUCAUCAAACCUCAUCACCAGUCAUAUGAUAGAUUCGAUUAGCUCAAGUUCAAUUGUGAUUCUUAUAAAUUUUUUUUCAUCAAUCACACUGCUGUGGUCAUAGGCUUACGGAUUUAUCCUCUCUAAUCCUAUAGGACUACUCUUUUCUAUCAAAAUUGAUAGAUUUUUUUUAAAUAUGCACCCUGCUCCUAUAGUAGACCAACUAUCACCAACAUCCACUAUAA
RNAcentral lists this long non-coding RNA (243 nucleotides) under Elaeis guineensis (African oil palm). Its description in RNAcentral is "long non-coding RNA (EGUI_LNC022787)". The record is from RNAcentral. Lineage: Eukaryota; Viridiplantae; Streptophyta; Magnoliopsida; Arecales; Arecaceae.